CCUACGGGUGGCAGCAGUGGGGAAUAUUGCACAAUGGUGGAAACCCUGAUGCAGCGACGCCGCGUGAGUGAAGAAGUAUCUCGGUAUCUAAAGCUCUAUUAGCCGGGACGAAGAAAGACGGUACCUGACUAAGAAGCGCCUGCUAACUACGUGCCCGCAGCCUCGGUAAUACGUAGGGGUCAAGCGUUAUCCGGAGUUACUGGGUGUAAAGGGAGCGUAGAGGGCUGUGCAGGUCUGAAGUGAAAGCCCAGGGCUCAAACCUGGGCCUGCUGUGGAAACUGUGGAGCUCGAGUGCUGGAGAGGUAGGUGGAAUUCCUGGUGUAGCGGUGAAAUGCGUAGAUAUUAGGAGGAACACCAGUGGCGAAGGCGGCAUGCUGGACAGUAACUGACGCUGAGGCUCGAAAGCGUGGGGAGCAAACAGGAUUAGAUACCCCAGUAGUC
This 441-nucleotide ribosomal RNA is filed under the name uncultured bacterium. RNAcentral describes it as "partial 16S ribosomal RNA". It matches the Rfam family "Bacterial small subunit ribosomal RNA", at positions 338 to 795 of the family's 1533-position model. The record is from RNAcentral.